GAGUUUGAUCCUGGCUCAGGAUGAACGCUGGCGGCGUGCUUAACACAUGCAAGUCGAACGGGAAAUAUUUCAUUGAGACUUCGGUGGAUUUGAUCUAUUUCUAGUGGCGGACGGGUGAGUAACGCGUGGGUAACCUGCCUUAUACAGGGGGAUAACAGUCAGAAAUGGCUGCUAAUACCGCAUAAGCGCACAGAGCUGCAUGGCUCAGUGUGAAAAACUCCGGUGGUAUAAGAUGGACCCGCGUUGGAUUAGCUAGUUGGUGGGGUAACGGCCUACCAAGGCAACGAUCAGUAGCCGGCUUGAGAGAGUGAACGGCCACAUUGGGACUGAGACACGGCCCAGACUCCUACGGGAGGCAGCAGUGGGGAAUAUUGCACAAUGGGGGAAACCCUGAUGCAGCGACGCCGCGUGGAGGAAGAAGGUUUUCGGAUUGUAAACUCCUGUCGUUAGGGACGAUAAUGACGGUACCUAACAAGAAAGCACCGGCUAACUACGUGCCAGCCGCCGCGGUAAUAC
RNAcentral lists this ribosomal RNA (516 nucleotides) under uncultured bacterium. Its description in RNAcentral is "bacterial SSU rRNA". It matches the Rfam family "Bacterial small subunit ribosomal RNA", at positions 9 to 526 of the family's 1533-position model. The record is from RNAcentral.